UAAGGUGGUUAUAGCGAUGGGGCUCACCUCUUACCAUUCCGAACAGAGUAGUUAAGCCCAUCAGCGCAGAUGGUACUGGGCAACCGGGAGAGUAUGUCGCCGCCUUCU
This 108-nucleotide ribosomal RNA is filed under the name Leptobacterium flavescens. The record is from RNAcentral. Lineage: Bacteria; Pseudomonadati; Bacteroidota; Flavobacteriia; Flavobacteriales; Flavobacteriaceae.